This 270-nucleotide ribosomal RNA is filed under the name uncultured bacterium. RNAcentral's name for it is "partial 16S ribosomal RNA". It matches the Rfam family "Bacterial small subunit ribosomal RNA", at positions 524 to 794 of the family's 1533-position model. The record is from RNAcentral.
UACAGAGGGGGCAAGCGUUGUUCGGAAUUACUGGGCGUAAAGGGCGCGUAGGCGGCCUGCUAAGUCGAACGUGAAAUCCCUGGGCUCAACCCAGGAACUGCGUCCGAUACUGGUUGGCUUGAAUCCGGGAGAGGGAUGUGGAAUUCCAGGUGUAGCGGUGAAAUGCGUAGAUAUCUGGAGGAACACCGGUGGCGAAGGCGACAUCCUGGACCGGCAUUGACGCUGAGGCGCGAAAGCCAGGGGAGCAAACGGGAUUAGAUACCCCGUAGU